RNAcentral lists this ribosomal RNA (253 nucleotides) under uncultured bacterium. RNAcentral describes it as "partial 16S ribosomal RNA". It matches the Rfam family "Bacterial small subunit ribosomal RNA", at positions 524 to 776 of the family's 1533-position model. The record is from RNAcentral.
UACGAACUGUGCGAACGUUAUUCGGAAUUACUGGGCGUAAAGCGUGCGCAGGCGGUGAUGUAAGACAGGUGUGAAAUCCCCGGGCUUAACCUGGGAACUGCAUUUGUGACUGCAUCGCUGGAGUGCGGCAGAGGGGGAUGGAAUUCCGCGUGUAGCAGUGAAAUGCGUAGAUAUGCGGAGGAACACCGAUGGCGAAGGCAAUCCCCUGGGCCUGCACUGACGCUCAUGCACGAAAGCGUGGGGAGCAAACAGG